Molecule: long non-coding RNA, 620 nt
Organism: Oncorhynchus tshawytscha (Chinook salmon)
Lineage: Eukaryota; Metazoa; Chordata; Actinopteri; Salmoniformes; Salmonidae
Source: Ensembl
GUAAACACACAGGCACACAGGUACACACACAGGCACACAGGUACACACACAGGCACACAGCUAAACACACAGGCACCCAGGUAAACACACAGGCACACAGGUACACACACAGGCACACAGGUAAACACACAGGCAUGCAGGUAAACACACAGGCACACAGGUACACACACAGGCACGCAGGUAAACACACAGGCACGCAGGUAAACACACAGGCACACAGGUACAAAAACAGGCACACAGGUAAACACACAGGCAUGCAGGUACACACACAGGCACACAGGUAAACACACAGGCAUGCAGGUAAACACACAGGCACACAGGUACACACACAGGCACACAGGUAAACACACAGGCACACAGGUACACACACAGGCACGCAGGUAAACACACAGGCACGCAGGUACACACACAAGCACGCAGGUAAACACACAGGCAUGUAGGUACAAUACACAGGCACGCAGGUACAAUACACACAGGCACGCAGGUAAACACACAGGCACACAGGUAAACACACAGGCACGCAGGUAAACACACAGGCACACAGGUACACACACAGGCACACAGGUAAACACACAGGCACACAGGUACACACACAGGCACGCAGGUAAAAACACAGGCAC